UUUUUCAAAAAAUGGUCUGCCAGGGUUUCUUCAACCCCUUUUCUUUUUUUGCGCCGCCGCUCAUCAGUCCUCCCACCAAAGGCCCCACCGCGGCGGAGAUGGAGAGGGCUCGGCGACUUCGGCGAAUAGGCAAGUUCCCUUUCUUCUCUUUGUUAUUUAUUACAAAAUAAUGAUGAAAAUAAGAGAGAAAAAAACAAGAAAAAUUUCGUAAAAAAAAAACUUUGUAAAAUAAAAGGCAGAAUCACCUUUAAAAAUGAGUUAAAUAUUUGUAUUCUCUUUGAAUUUCUCUGCUUCUCUCUAUUUCUGUCUCUGUUUAAGCUCAAAAAUCCCCCCUCCCUUUACAGAUUUUCCUCGACUUUAUAUAGCCGAAAAAAUAAAGAAAAAAAUCAAAGAAAUAACACAACAACUUUGUAUUUCCGUUAUUCUCUCAUUUUUUGCGUUUUUCUCUUUCGUUUACUUGUUCUUUGCGUCUGUUUUGCCGUUUGUUGUGCAGAUUCAGCCAACUGGGGAUGUACGUGGGACACGUACGUGCGCAAAGGGUGGUGGUGCAGGGCUGAUGUGCGGCGGCUAGGGUUGAAGGUUGUAUGCUGCUAGGGUUGCUGCUGGAAUUUAGUUAGUGGGCUGUUUAGUUUGGGUCAGGUGUUGGGCCAUUCUAGGUUUAGUUGGGCCCGGGCAUUAUUGGGUUUGUACAGCAACCAUCCUUUAUAAGUCAUUUAAUCUAUUUUAAUCACUAAGUCAUUAACC
Molecule: long non-coding RNA, 744 nt
Filed under: Gossypium raimondii (Peruvian cotton)
Lineage: Eukaryota; Viridiplantae; Streptophyta; Magnoliopsida; Malvales; Malvaceae
Description: long non-coding RNA (GRAI_LNC000316)
Source: RNAcentral